GCUGACAGUGAUGCUUUCUUGUACCUACAUUGUUUGAAUGGUCAGUGUGAGAAUAUAUAAUCAUCUGAGUCAUGC
This is a small nucleolar RNA of Scleropages formosus (Asian bonytongue), 75 nucleotides long. Its record names the gene SNORD34. It matches the Rfam family "Small nucleolar RNA SNORD34". Rfam says of the family: snoRNA U34 is found in intron 5 of the ribosomal protein L13a gene in humans. U34 is a member of the C/D class of snoRNA which contain C (UGAUGA) and D (CUGA) box motifs, and functions in directing site-specific 2'-O-methylation of 25S rRNAs. Although the selection of the target nucleotide requires the antisense element and the conserved box D or D' of the snoRNA, the methyltransferase activity is thought to reside in one of the protein components. Lineage: Eukaryota; Metazoa; Chordata; Actinopteri; Osteoglossiformes; Osteoglossidae. The record is from Ensembl.